CAGCCCUUUCUCUCUCUACUAGACGCAACUCACAACCUUCUCUCUCUACUGGACGCAGCUCACAUCAUUCUAUCUCUACUGGAUGCAGAAAGAAGAACCGGGAUUUCACAGCAAUUGCAACUUCUACUAAGACAACAUAUGGAUAUGAAAAUUGGGGUUCUUAUAUUUGAUUCAUGUUUUUUUAUUCCAUUCUAAGAAUUGGAGUCGAUUUAUUUUGUGCUGUUAUCAUGUAAAAUUGAAAUUGAAACGGAAGAUGUAGAGUUUCCAUUGCUGUGUAUUGAUGAAGCACAUGCUAAAAACCCA
This is a long non-coding RNA of Amborella trichopoda, 303 nucleotides long. RefSeq lists it as uncharacterized. Lineage: Eukaryota; Viridiplantae; Streptophyta; Magnoliopsida; Amborellales; Amborellaceae. The record is from RefSeq and is a predicted model, not a curated record.